Suncus etruscus (white-toothed pygmy shrew) is the source of this 104-nucleotide small nuclear RNA. Lineage: Eukaryota; Metazoa; Chordata; Mammalia; Eulipotyphla; Soricidae. The record is from RefSeq and is a predicted model, not a curated record.
GUGCUUCAGCAGCACAUAUACUAAAAUCGGAACGAUACAGAGAAGAUUAGCAUGGCCCCUGCACAAGGAUGACACGCAAAUUCCUACAUUCUACACACUCAAGU